Long non-coding RNA from Neofelis nebulosa (Clouded leopard), 724 nucleotides. RefSeq lists it as uncharacterized. The transcript has 4 exons. Lineage: Eukaryota; Metazoa; Chordata; Mammalia; Carnivora; Felidae. The record is from RefSeq and is a predicted model, not a curated record.
UGACAAGAUUAACCAGACACGCACCUGGAGAAGAAGCUUUGCCGCUCGGAGGUGCCUCCUUCUUAUUGACAGUUGUGGGGGGGCCCGGACAGAGCUGUCCCAUGGGGUGCCUUUCACACACUUUGCCUUGGGGUAAAGAAGCGUUAUUUCCUCUUUCAGGCUGAAGACUCUCAUGUGACCGGCGUUCCAGGGGCAGUGCGGGCUCCGGAGCUAGGGGCUGAGGACAGUGACACAGCCAGCUGGGGCCGUCCUCCGCCGUAUUCAGAAGAGGCUGCUCUCCUGUACUUGCACAGGACCCUGCGGUUUCUAAGAGUUCUCUGCCGUUUCCCUGCCCGAGCGACAGCCAACACCAGGUCUAGCCUCACUGGAUACAUGAUCUCCAGCCAUCAGCUAACAUAGAGCCUGACCUUGCUCGAGUGAUCUCCGUGCAAGUUUGCUGAAUGAAUAAAGGAGCAGGCCUCUCCGCAUGGCCUCCUGGCCCAUCAACCCCUCACAGCCUCACUGCCCCUGCCCAGCCUGAGCCCGCAGCUUACAGAGCUGCCCCAGGCCUCAUGCCACAGCUGGCUUCCCUGACAUCAGGGCAUCAGUCACCGUCCUGAUGAAGACGCGCCCCAAUCUGUGCCUCCAGCCCCGGCCCCUGCAGCUACUUCCGCAGUUACGUGCCAGGCCUUGCUACCCAAGGUGCCCACACCCCAAAUUCAGCCAGCCACAGCGCAGACUCACC